CAGCCGCCGCGGUAAAACGAAGGGUGCAAGCGUUAAUCGGAAUUACUGGGCGUAAAGCGUGCGUAGGCGGUGAGUUAAGUCUGCUGUGAAAUCCCCGGGCUCAACCUGGGAAUGGCAGUGGAUACUGGCUCGCUAGAGUGUGUCAGAGGAUGGUGGAAUUCCCGGUGUAGCGGUGAAAUGCGUAGAGAUCGGGAGGAACAUCAGUGGCGAAGGCGGCCAUCUGGGACAACACCGACGCUGAGGCACGAAAGCGUGGGGAGCAAACAGGAUUAGAUACCCCGGUAGUCCCUGUCUCUUAUAC
This 301-nucleotide ribosomal RNA is filed under the name uncultured bacterium. Its description in RNAcentral is "partial 16S ribosomal RNA". It matches the Rfam family "Bacterial small subunit ribosomal RNA", at positions 509 to 807 of the family's 1533-position model. The record is from RNAcentral.